RNAcentral lists this unclassified non-coding RNA (375 nucleotides) under uncultured fungus. RNAcentral describes it as "sequence contains ITS1". The stretch from base 1 to 105 matches the Rfam family "5.8S ribosomal RNA", at positions 50 to 154 of the family's 154-position model. Lineage: Eukaryota; Fungi. The record is from RNAcentral.
CAACUGCGAUAAGUAGUGUGAACUGCAGAAACCUUGAACACAGAACAUUCGAAUGCACAUUGCGCCACUGGAUAUGCAUCCUUUGGCACGCCUGGUUCAGGGUCGUUAUCCUAAAAUGCACAGCGUGUGCGUGUACGUGCUGCUUGACCAACUUGUGCGCCCAUACAGUUGAUCUUGCAUUUGUGAAGUGCGCCCGGACGGUGUCGAGCCGCGCUGGCAUGGACUUGUGCAAUCCUUUGCGUUCAUGCUCUACCUUAUGAGUAGUUUAGGCGUGUUGCUUGGCACUGUGUUGGGUUGCUUGUGUGCUUGCUUGUGUGCACAAUGAAUGACCAAAUUUUCGACCUGAACUCAGACGUGAGUACCCGCUGAACUUAA